This is a non-coding RNA of Anolis carolinensis (green anole), 1586 nucleotides long. The record is from the annotation of a RefSeq genome assembly. NCBI's taxonomy places the organism in Eukaryota, Metazoa, Chordata, Lepidosauria, Squamata, Anolidae.
AUCCAGUUUCAUGAGCCACUCCUUAUUCUUUCCAUGACACCUUUGCAGACACUUCCUUUUUUCCCUCUCUACAUCUCAACAACAAUUGUUUGUGUUUUCCAUAACUGAUGAUGACAAUGCCUCCAAUGUUCUGGACACCGAGUAUUAGCAAACUGUGAUGGACACCUUCUGGAUGAAGCCUUGACACCUGCAGAGGGCUGAGGAAGGAACAACAGUUGCCUUUGAAAGGGAAAUGAUUUGAAUACUGGGGCUGGGUUACGAACCCCACACCUUUUAAGAACAACGCCAUGUGGAGGGGGAUGAGACUGGACUUCUCACCACCUUCUGAAGGACCAGCUGCCUGGGUUCUCACCAUGCUUUGGGUCUCCUUCCUCACACUCUUCGCUUACUGCUCAGGUACCUUGGGCCAAUAUGUGGUCUCCCAGCCACCAUCCGCAUCCGUCUCUCUGGGGGAAAAUGGCCAAAUCACUUGUUCGGGGAAUAAAAUUGGAGGCAAGUAUGUGCAGUGGUACCAACAGAAACCUGGCAAGGCCCCUGUCCUCAUUGUAUAUGGAAGUAUCUUGGGGUCCUUGAGCAUUCUGGAUCGAUUUUCUGGCACCAACUCUGGCAACACGGCCACCUUAAGCAUCUCUCGGGCCCAAGCAGAAGACGAGGCAGAUUAUUACUGCCAGGUAUGGGACAGCAACACAGCUGUCUUCGGCGGCGGGACCAGCCUGUUAGUCCUAGGUAAGUCACUUUAAAAUACAUCUACAAUGAUCUCCCACUGGUUUUUUGGUUGUUGUUUUGCUUUUUUUUCAGCCAAAACCUGUCUUUGUCUCCGGUGAGGAACCCUUGGCAUGCCAGGUUGAAUUGUCUUACGAGAGCCAAGCUUGAACAAAAUCAAAUGCUUUUUGUCAAUCGUUUCUGUUUAUUUCAAUUCGGACUUAAAUCCAAACCUACUCCAGACUUAAAUCCAAAGCGCAAAAGUUUUGGGUGCCUGUUCAUGUUUGUAAAUCUCUGCUUUCACAAAAUGUUUGUACGUAUUUCACUACAGAAAUGUUUCUAAAGGUUUUUAAUCCAGGCUUCUAAGGACUAAAUGGGACAUUGGUAGUUUGACAGUCAUUGGUGAGUCGAUUUUUAUCACUGGCAGAAAACUAUUCAGAUAAAGAAUCAUAAAGCAAAGGCUCGUGUAUGCAUUGUCUAUUAUGCACGGAAUCCCAUAUAUUUCGUUUUAGAGGAAAAUAAUAUUUUAUUGUGUUGUCAAAGGCUUUCAUAGCUGGAAUCACUUGGUUGCUGUGAGUUUUCUGGACUGUCUAGCCAUCUUCCAGAAGCAUUCUCUUCUCAUGUUUCGCCCACAUCUAUAGCAGGCAUCCUCAGAAUUUGUGAGAUUUUGGAGGGUUGUUUUUCCAACUUCAUCGCGUUGCAUUGUAUCAUUGUUCUAGACUCCUGUCAGCUUUGUCUGGUCCCAAAAUACCUUACCCAGAAUUAAUUCAAAGAUCAGGAAGUCCCGGAUUUUGUUCCCGUCCUUUCCAAUGUCAUUUUGGAGAUCUGGACUCGCUUCCAGUUUUGUUCUUUCUGAUUUUAUGCACAUCUUUUCGGUCAGCUCC